Molecule: ribosomal RNA, 265 nt
Filed under: uncultured bacterium
Lineage: Bacteria
Description: partial 16S ribosomal RNA
Rfam family: Bacterial small subunit ribosomal RNA
Source: RNAcentral
GUCCACGCCCUAAACGAUGCGAACUGGAUGUUGGGUGCAAUUAGGCACUCAGUAUCGAAGCUAACGCGUUAAGUUCGCCGCCUGGGAAGUACGGUCGCAAGACUGAAACUCAAAGGAAUUGACGGGGGCCCCGCACAAGCGGUGGAGUAUGUGGUUUAAUUCGAUGCAACGCGAAGAACCUUACCUGGCCUUGACAUGUCUGGAAUCCUUUAGAGAUAGAGGAGUGCCUUCGGGAACCAGAACACAGGUGCUGCAUGGCUGUCGU